This 253-nucleotide ribosomal RNA is filed under the name uncultured bacterium. RNAcentral's name for it is "partial 16S ribosomal RNA". It matches the Rfam family "Bacterial small subunit ribosomal RNA", at positions 524 to 776 of the family's 1533-position model. The record is from RNAcentral.
UACGAAGGGGGCUAGCGUUGUUCGGAAUCACUGGGCGUAAAGCGCACGUAGGCGGAUCUUUAAGUCAGGGGUGAAAUCCCGAGGCUCAACCUCGGAACUGCCUUUGAUACUGGGGAUCUCGAGUCCGGGAGAGGUGAGUGGAACUGCGAGUGUAGAGGUGAAAUUCGUAGAUAUUCGCAAGAACACCAGUGGCGAAGGCGGCUCACUGGCCCGGAACUGACGCUGAGGUGCGAAAGCGUGGGGAGCAAACGGG